This 253-nucleotide ribosomal RNA is filed under the name uncultured bacterium. RNAcentral's name for it is "partial 16S ribosomal RNA". It matches the Rfam family "Bacterial small subunit ribosomal RNA", at positions 524 to 776 of the family's 1533-position model. The record is from RNAcentral.
GACGAAGGGGGCUAGCGUUGUUCGGAAUUACUGGGCGUAAAGCACGUGUAGGCGGUUGUUCAAGUCAGGUGUGAAAGCCUUGAGCUCAACUCAAGAAAUGCACUUGAUACUGGAUGACUAGAGGACCGGAGAGGAUAGUGGAAUUCCCAGUGUAGUGGUGAAAUACGUAGAGAUUGGGAAGAACACCAGUGGCGAAGGCGGCUAUCUGGACGGUUUCUGACGCUAAGACGCGAAAGCGUGGGGAGCAAACAGG